GCCCGGAUGGCGGAAUUGGUAGACGCGCUAGGUUCAGGGUCUAGUGCCGGCAACGGCGUACAGGUUCGAGUCCUGCUCCGGGCACCA
This 87-nucleotide transfer RNA is filed under the name Ignavibacteriaceae bacterium. RNAcentral describes it as "tRNA-Leu". It matches the Rfam family "tRNA". Rfam says of the family: Transfer RNA (tRNA) molecules are approximately 80 nucleotides in length. Their secondary structure includes four short double-helical elements and three loops (D, anti-codon, and T loops). The record is from RNAcentral. Lineage: Bacteria; Pseudomonadati; Ignavibacteriota; Ignavibacteria; Ignavibacteriales; Ignavibacteriaceae.